Molecule: ribosomal RNA, 490 nt
Filed under: uncultured bacterium
Lineage: Bacteria
Description: partial 16S ribosomal RNA
Rfam family: Bacterial small subunit ribosomal RNA
Source: RNAcentral
AUUGAACGCUGGCGGCAGGCCUAACACAUGCAAGUCGAACGGUAACAGGAAGCAGCUUGCUGCUUCUCUGACGAGUGGCGGACGGGUGAGUAAUGUCUGGGAAGCUGCCUGAUGUAGGGGGAUAACUACUGGAAACGGUAGCUAAUACCGCAUAAUGUCUCAAGACCAAAGAGGGGGACCUUCGGGCCUCUUGCCAUCGGAUGUGCCCAGAUGGGAUUAGCUUGUUGGUGGGGUAACGGCUCACCAAGGCGACGAUCCCUAGCUGGUCUGAGAGGAUGACCGGCCACCCUGGAACUGAGACACGGUCCAGACUACUACGGGAGGCAGCAGUGGGGAAUAUUGCACAAUGGGCGCAAGCCUGAUGCAGCCAUGCCGCGUGUAUGACGAAGGCCUUGGGGUUGUAAAGUACUUUCAGCGGGGAGGAAGGGAGUAAAGUUAAUACCUUUGCUCAUUGACGUUACCCGAAGAAGAAGCACCGGCUAACUACGUG